GUGGGGCAGCUGUGCUGAGUCUGUGUGGUAGCUUCGCAUCACAGUAGCAGCGAAGGGGCACAGUUCUGUCAGCCUGUGUGUGGCACAGUUGGUGAGGAAAGGCAGGCCACCAUCAGCUGGGGCAGGGAACAAAAGUACAAGCUUCCAAUUGGGCACGUGGGUGUGAAAAAGCACAGCUUUUUGCUCUCCAAGGAAUGAGGUGCACUUUCUGACACGACACAGGUUUUGCCUUCAUGCUUCCUCUGUGCCCAGUGGCAUUAGAGGGGCUGUUGGCUGGUCAGCAUGGAUCUCAGUAAUAACAACCACAUCACUGGGAUACAUACCAUCUCUUCAGCAGGACUGAAGGUUUCUUUCUUCACUGGAAUAGUUUCCUGACCUGCUGUGACUGUUUAAUAGGAAAGGUUGAAGACACAAGACAUGUUGGCACUCUUCCAUGAGAAGAAAACUGUAUUUGAAACUCCAAUGUACAUUUAUUAAUCCAUCUCUAUGCUUAAGUCAAAGUAUGGACAAUAGAUAAGAAUUUUGAAAUAUUUCCUCUAACUCUCUGGAUUUGUUCCCAUUUCAGCCCUUUAUCUGGCAGUUCUCAUCUUCUGUAUUCUUUUAAAAUGCGUUAAAUCAGUUUACGAGACCUCCACAAUAUGUAAUAUAUUAUUUUUUUUAAUCCAAACAACACUCAAAAGCAAAGUUGGAGUUUUUUUUUUUUAAAUUUAAUUUUAUUUCAUUUUUAGUAUAUUUCUGUUUAGAGGAAGGAUUCCUAAGAUUAAAAAAGUCAUAAUUGAUACACUUAAUUGGCACUUUGGCAGUAGGCAAGACCUUUAAAUAAAUGGUGUUGAGCAAUGUUGACAGACAGCUUGCAAAUACCAUACAGUUA
Molecule: long non-coding RNA, 871 nt
Organism: Phasianus colchicus (ring-necked pheasant)
Lineage: Eukaryota; Metazoa; Chordata; Aves; Galliformes; Phasianidae
Source: RefSeq, a predicted model, not a curated record